This 449-nucleotide ribosomal RNA is filed under the name uncultured bacterium. RNAcentral's name for it is "bacterial SSU rRNA". It matches the Rfam family "Bacterial small subunit ribosomal RNA", at positions 329 to 793 of the family's 1533-position model. The record is from RNAcentral.
UGCCAGACUCCUACGGGAGGCAGCAGUGGGGGAUAUUGCACAAUGGGGGAAACCCUGAUGCAGCGACGCCGCGUGGGCGAAGAAGUAUUUCGGUAUGUAAAGCCCUAUCAGCAGGGAAGAAGAAAUGACGGUACCUGAGUAAGAAGCACCAGCUAAAUACGUGCCAGCAGCCGCGGUAAUACGUAUGGUGCAAGCGUUAUCCGGAUUUACUGGGUGUAAAGGGAGCGCAGGCGGCACGGCAAGCCUGAUGUGAAAGCCCGCGGCCCAACCGCGGGACUGCAUUGGGAACUACCGGGCUGGAGUGCCGGAGAGGUAGGCGGAAUUCCUAGUGUAGCGGUGAAAUGCGUAGAUAUUAGGAGGAACACCAGUGGCGAAGGCGGCCUGCUGGGCUUUUACUGACGCUGAGGCUCGAAAGUGUGGGGAGCAAACAGGAUUAGAUACCCCGGUAU